GCCUGAUCCGACAUGGAACUCUUCUCCAGGUCUUUUGUCUGAAUUCUAAUCUUUAUACCUUGAGUCAAAGCUCAUCGUGAAGCAUAACCGUGGCAGCUUUAGCAUUUCAGAAACCUUAGAAGGAAUUCAAGUCCCUUUCAUCUGUUCUUCUUCCACAGGCAAGAAUUUGCCUUCUCAGAGGAAAUGCACUCCCCGCCCCCUGUGUCUUGCACAGUCUAGAAGAUGUGAGCAGAGACGAACGGAAGACACUGCCUUGGGCCCCCCUCUCUUUGCGGGCUCAUGAGAAGGUGGUGUGGGGCCGUAGGUGGCAAAGUCUCUCACGCAGGCUAUACUGAUCUCCCUGUCCACCUCCUUCUCCAGAGACCCCCUCAGCACAGAGACCUGGGUGAAACGGCCUUCUCUCUCGCAAUUCUUGGCAGGAAAGAGGAUUGUUUGUUGAAUGAGCAAAUGAAUAAACGGGCAUCCUACCCAGUGUGA
RNAcentral lists this long non-coding RNA (477 nucleotides) under Fukomys damarensis (Damara mole-rat). RNAcentral's name for it is "lncRNA (ENSFDAG00000028032.1)". The record is from RNAcentral. Lineage: Eukaryota; Metazoa; Chordata; Mammalia; Rodentia; Bathyergidae.